AAAAUGCUCCAGCUUCGGCAGGGAACUUGAUAGCACAGGGAGCUUCCUACAGAGCAUUUCCUCUCCUGGCAACAGAUGAGAAGUGCACGUACAAUGAAAGCCUGCAGUUCAGCCAACAUGGUGUUAUUUGUACUGUGGUAGCCAAACUUGGUGUUUGCCCUGAAGAGAGUGGCUGAGUUUUCUCUGAGCAACUGAGGGACAGAGAGGUGUUCAGUGCCGAAGGCAAUAUUGUAUGGAGAGGGUUCUUUGCCCACCAAAGAGAAUUCUUUCUUUUCAGACUUCAAAG
RNAcentral lists this long non-coding RNA (286 nucleotides) under Dromaius novaehollandiae (emu). RNAcentral describes it as "lncRNA (ENSDNVG00000007860.1)". The record is from RNAcentral. Lineage: Eukaryota; Metazoa; Chordata; Aves; Casuariiformes; Dromaiidae.